UACAUGGGGUGCAAACGUUGCUCGGAAUUAUUGGGCGUAAAGCGCACGUAGGCGGUUCGUUAAGUCGGAUGUGAAAGCCCUCGGCUCAACUGAGGAAGUGCACCCGAAACUGGCGAGCUUGAGUACGAAAGAGGAUCGCGGAAUUCCCGGUGUAGAGGUGAAAUUCGUAGAUAUCGGGAGGAACACCGGUGGCGAAGGCGGCGAUCUGGGUCGAUACUGACGCUGAGGCGCGACAGCGUGGGGAGCAAACAGG
RNAcentral lists this ribosomal RNA (253 nucleotides) under uncultured bacterium. Its description in RNAcentral is "partial 16S ribosomal RNA". It matches the Rfam family "Bacterial small subunit ribosomal RNA", at positions 524 to 776 of the family's 1533-position model. The record is from RNAcentral.